UAUUUGAGGAAGAGGAGCCGAUUUUACACAUGCGCAGGUUGAUGAAUGAGGCCAUUGCUGAUGAGAGGUUUGAGGUAUUGUAUGCUUAUGAUUCCUUAUGCCAUUUUUCUUCGAAGUACAACAAAGAUCAUUCUUUUAUUAACAAUUUGAUUGUGUGGCAUUUGAAUAGUGGACUUUCAUUUUUAAUGCUCUAAUUAUGAUUGGAAAGGUCUACUUAGAGAAAUUUUUUACUGCAGUGUUUGGUUUAGUUUUAGAUAAUUAAUGUGUUCAAGUGAUGCACACAAUGAGAUUAAGUCUCUUUGGAGGUGAUGCACACAAAUUGGAGGUUCAGUCUCUUAAUUUCUUUCUUAAAUUAUACAUCUUGCUAGAAUAUCAUUUCUUGUAGCAAUGAAGUUGCAUAAAUUGCUGGUUUCUUGAAACAUGUCAAUAUUUUUGUCUCUUAAUUCGUAGUAUCACUCUUUAAUCUUUAUUCAAUCUGGCUGAGCAUGUAACCAAAUGUUGACUCUUAACUGCAACCCUUGUUUGGGGACAUGAACUACAUUACAAUUUUUUGAGUUCUAGAAAAUAUGUACUUAGCAUAUGUUUUAUAAUCUGAUGCAUGUUCAUUUGAGGCCCUUGCAUCUGCUAACUUUCUACUGUUCUGUUUUCUUGUUUUUGACUUUUCCCUUUUUCCAGGAUGCAGCUAGGUACCAUGAUGAACCUGAAGGAUAUUGCCCCACACUCUCUCUUGAAAUGUUCAAGUGAUGCAACAACGUUGGUAUGGGACCUUGUUACUGGAAGAUUUUUACAAACUCGAGCUUUUCCACUACCAAUUACUGCAAUAGUUGUUGAUCCAACAGAGAUGAAGUUAUUUUCUGGUGGUAUAGAUUGCUAGUGGAUAUUUCUUUUUUGUAUACGAAGGACAUCAUUUUUGUAAUAUUAUCUGUUUGUAUGGAAUUAUUUUUUGGGAUUGGAUUA
Non-coding RNA from Camellia sinensis, 957 nucleotides. The record is from RefSeq and is a predicted model, not a curated record. NCBI's taxonomy places the organism in Eukaryota, Viridiplantae, Streptophyta, Magnoliopsida, Ericales, Theaceae.